Molecule: ribosomal RNA, 253 nt
Filed under: uncultured bacterium
Lineage: Bacteria
Description: partial 16S ribosomal RNA
Rfam family: Bacterial small subunit ribosomal RNA
Source: RNAcentral
UACGUAGGGUGCAAGCGUUGUCCGGAAUUAUUGGGCGUAAAGAGCUCGUAGGCGGUUUGUCGCGUCUGCUGUGAAAAUCCAGGGCUUAACCCUGGACCUGCAGUGGGUACGGGCAGACUAGAGUGCGGUAGGGGAGAUCGGAAUUCCUGGUGUAGCGGUGAAAUGCGCAGAUAUCAGGAGGAACACCGGUGGCGAAGGCGGAUCUCUGGGCCGUAACUGACGCUGAGGAGCGAAAGCUAGGGGAGCAAACAGG